GGCGGCGUGCCUAACACAUGCAAGUCGAACGCGAAAGUCCCGCAAGGGAUGAGUAGAGUGGCAAACGGGUGAGUAACACGUGGGUGACCUGCCUUCGAGUGGGGGAUAACGUCCCGAAAGGGACGCUAAUACCGCAUAACAUCCUGCCUUUGAAGAGGUGGAGAUCAAAGCUGGGGAUCGCAAGACCUAGCGCUGGAAGAGGGGCCCGCGUCUGAUUAGCUAGUUGGUGGGGUAAUGGCUCACCAAGGCAACGAUCAGUAUCCGGCCUGAGAGGGCGGACGGACACACUGGGACUGAGACACGGCCCAGACUCCUACGGGAGGCAGCAGUGGGGAAUUGUUCGCAAUGGGCGCAAGCCUGACGACGCAACGCCGCGUGGAGGAUGAAGACCUUCGGGUCGUAAACUCCUUUCGAUCGAGACGAAUGGCUCCCGGACGAAUAAUUCGGGAGAGUGA
RNAcentral lists this ribosomal RNA (455 nucleotides) under uncultured Acidobacteriota bacterium. RNAcentral's name for it is "bacterial SSU rRNA". It matches the Rfam family "Bacterial small subunit ribosomal RNA", at positions 38 to 472 of the family's 1533-position model. Lineage: Bacteria; Pseudomonadati; Acidobacteriota. The record is from RNAcentral.